RNA transcript from Sus scrofa (pig), 1124 nucleotides. RefSeq lists it as uncharacterized. The record is from RefSeq and is a predicted model, not a curated record. Lineage: Eukaryota; Metazoa; Chordata; Mammalia; Artiodactyla; Suidae.
AGGUUAGGUUUAGUUAAUUAGUUUCUCCUGGGGGCAGGCCUUAUUAAGAAGAUCAGAGUGCUCUGGUGUAUUUCAGAAUGAUUCUUUUCCCCUCCUCCUGCCGGAAGCCUGAAGAGGUUUUUCUCUGUUGUGUAGCAUGGGAACUGGGUUGUACUCCUGGAGGUAAAUCCCACAAUAUGGGAGAUCCUCCUCUGAUUAAGCCCCUCCUGAAGUUUUACCCUCUCAGAGUUGUCUUCAAGGAGCCUCCAGCAAUUCAUCAGUUACAGUUUUGGUUCUCUUACCCUGGCACUGGUUCCUGAGGCAGUUUCUGCUCCUGAGUCUCUGCUAUGGUGUCUUAUCAUUGUCUGCAUGCACAGACUGAAAACACUGUCCACUUCACACUGAAGUCAUGAAGAUUAAAUGAGGCAAUGGAUUUGACAUUGGUUCAGAAGACUCCAUUUGCCAGCACACUGUGAAUAAAGCCAUCUCUCUAGGACUGAUUCCCAGUCACUAAGCUCAAAGAGGUCAUAUGGAUGGGUACUCUCCCAUGCAGACAGACACAAGAACAGAAGUCAAAUCAAAACCAGAAGUCUAUUUGGCGAGUAUGGAAUUAAAAUGAGCAAAAUUAAUUCUGUUAGACAAAUCUUUUAGUCCAGCAAGUACUCAUGAAACCAUACCCACAGCAGAAUUUGUCUUGCCAAUAGAAAUACCACAAUUAAGUGCAUAGACACAAGACUACAAACUUUUAGACAGCUCUAGAUGGGCGCUGCCAAAAUAAGCAGAGGUAUCAAGAGUCAACAGCCAAGGAAAACGGAUAUAUACUUGAUGAUGCCAAUAAUGAGAAAUUUGCAAAAAAUAGUAUAACUCAAAAAGGGAGAUAAACACACUGACAGGAAGGCAAAAAUUUGAUUCAUUAAUUCUACAAUGUGGCCUCAACACAAGAAACACCCUUAUUUCAGCACUUAGGCAAAAAAAUCCUUCAAUGAGUCUGCAAUAUUGAUUGCAUGAUCCAGAAGAAAUAUUCUGGUUAUGGUAUACAUGAGAAUGGAAUCUUGAAGAUCUUAGAGUUUAUCAUAUUUGAGUGAAAAUAUGCCACUCAACUUUAAAAAUCCAGAGAGAAUAAAAGGCAUGUUAUGGAUAAGUCU